GAGCAGGACUGGCACCAGGUGCAGCAGAAGCUGAUUGAGGAGCUGGACUCCAAGUUGGACCGCCUGGAGUUGGCCCCGCUGCGGCAGCAGUUGGAGGAGCGCUGGAGGAGCGUCCUGAAGCAACUGAAGGAGAGCACACCGCGGGUGGAGGCCGACGACGCUGCUGGGAUUCGGAAGCAGCUGCUGGCCCAUUUCCACUGCGUGUCCUGCGACCGACCCCUGCACAUGCUGGUGCCUGGACCGUGAGUUCUGGGGCGCUCGG
This 262-nucleotide long non-coding RNA is filed under the name Gallus gallus (chicken). RNAcentral describes it as "long non-coding RNA NONGGAT003271". Lineage: Eukaryota; Metazoa; Chordata; Aves; Galliformes; Phasianidae. The record is from RNAcentral.